Molecule: ribosomal RNA, 632 nt
Filed under: uncultured archaeon
Lineage: Archaea
Description: bacterial SSU rRNA
Rfam family: Archaeal small subunit ribosomal RNA
Source: RNAcentral
GAGGGCCCGGAGAUGGUACUGAGACACGGACCCAGNCCCUAUGGGGCGCAGCAGGCGAGAAACCUUUGCAAUGUGCGAAAGCACGACAAGGUUAAUCCGAGUGUCUCCUGCUAAAGGAGUCUUUUGUCAGUUGUAGAAUCACUGGUGAAUAAGGGGUGGGCAAGUUCUGGUGUCAGCCGCCGCGGUAAAACCAGCACCUCGAGUGGUCAGGAGGUUUAUUGGGCCUAAAGCAUCCGUAGCCGGUUGCAUAAGUUUUCGGUUAAAUCUAUGCGCUUAACGUAUAGGCCGCCGAAAAUACUGUGCAGCUAGGGAGUGGGAGAGGUACACGGUACUCGAUAGGAAGGGGUAAAAUCCUUUGAUCUAUUGAAGACCACCUGUGGCGAAGGCGGUGUACCAGAACACGUUCGACGGUGAGGGAUGAAAGCUGGGGGAGCAAACCGGAUUAGAUACCCGGGUAGUCCCAGCUGUAAACGAUGCAGACUCGGUGAUGCAUUGGCUUGUGGCCAAUGCAGUGCCGCAGGGAAGCCGUUAAGUCUGCCGCCUGGGUAGUACGUACGCAAGUAUGAAACUUAAAGGAAUUGGCGGGGGAGCACCACAAGAGGUGAAGCGUGCGGUUCAAUUGGAGUCACUCA